CAGUUUAUUAAAGAUACUCAGCUCUUUUAGGAUUUAGAAGGUUUUAGAAAAGAGAUACGAACAUUAAAUCAACAGUCAACCAAUCUUGAUAUAAGAUUAAAUAGAUCUCUAGAAAGCAACGAGAAACUUCGAAAUGCAUUAAAAUGUAGCCAAAUAGAAGAGAAGGAAUUAAGAAAUCAAAUUAGAAAACUGCAAGAAGAUAAGAAGUUAGCCAUAAAAAAUUUGGAAAAACAGCGAUCGGAGUUAGUGCAAGCAUUUAAGAAACAAACACUACUCGUAGAUAAUUUGAAGAAACAAAACAUACACUUGAUGGCAAAUGGACAAAUCAGCUUAACGAAAGAAGACUUUGCGAAGUUAUUAGAGUGGAAACCUCAGAAUGUCUCUGAUGUAUCGUAAUAGUGUUUACAGUAAUAGCGUUUAUAGUAAUUCCCAGUAAAUUUACAUUCCCGGAACUUUUUGCUUCUGUCUGAUCAUUUAAACAGCUCCCUUGAGGAGAGCAUCUUUCUCAGGGAUAUUUUGUAAAACAUUAAUUUAUUAAAUGACUGUAACUUAUAUACUGUAUAAAAGAUGAAAUUAAUCCCA
Wasmannia auropunctata (little fire ant) is the source of this 582-nucleotide long non-coding RNA. RefSeq lists it as uncharacterized. The transcript is spliced from 3 exons. NCBI's taxonomy places the organism in Eukaryota, Metazoa, Arthropoda, Insecta, Hymenoptera, Formicidae. The record is from RefSeq and is a predicted model, not a curated record.